This 506-nucleotide ribosomal RNA is filed under the name uncultured bacterium. RNAcentral's name for it is "partial 16S ribosomal RNA". It matches the Rfam family "Bacterial small subunit ribosomal RNA", at positions 28 to 523 of the family's 1533-position model. The record is from RNAcentral.
GGUGAACGCUAGCUACAGGCUUAACACAUGCAAGUCGAGGGGUAACGAGAGGAAAGCUUGCUUUCCUUGUCGACGACCGGCGCACGGGUGAGUAACGCGUAUCCAACCUGCCCCCAACUAGGGAAUAACCUUGCGAAAGUAAGACUAAUACCCUAUAAUUUCCUCAGAUGUCAUCUGACGAGGAAUAAAGAUUUAUCGGUUGUGGAUGGGGAUGCGUCUGAUUAGCUUGUUGGCGGGGUAACGGCCCACCAAGGCAACGAUCAGUAGGGGUUCUGAGAGGAAUGUCCCCCACAUUGGAACUGAGACACGGUCCAAACUCCUACGGGAGGCAGCAGUGAGGAAUAUUGGUCAAUGGGCGGAAGCCUGAACCAGCCAAGUAGCGUGCAGGAUGACGGCCCUAUGGGUUGUAAACUGCUCUUAUACAGGAAUAAAGUUAGCCACGUGUGGUUAUUUGUAGGUACUGUAUGAAUAAGGACCGGCUAAUUCCGUGCCAGCCGCCGCCGUAA